GGCCGAGUGGUGUAGUUGGUUAUCACAUCUCGUUAACAUAGUUAAUACUUGUCCCGAGAAGGUCCUCAGAUCGAGCCUGGGCUUGGUCA
Non-coding RNA from Tricladium varicosporioides, 89 nucleotides. The record is from the annotation of a GenBank genome assembly. Lineage: Eukaryota; Fungi; Ascomycota; Leotiomycetes; Helotiales; Tricladiaceae.